GAUGAAGAACGCAGCGAAAUGCGAUAAGUAAUGUGAAUUGCAGAAUUCAGUGAAUCAUCGAAUCUUUGAACGCACAUUGCGCCCGCCAGUAUUCUGGCGGGCAUGCCUGUCUGAGCGUCAUUUCAACCCUCAUGCCCCUAGGGCGUGGUGUUGGGGAUCGGCCAAAGCCCGCGAGGGACGGCCGGCCCCUAAAUCUAGUGGCGGACCCGUCGUGGCCUCCUCUGCGAAGUAGUGAUAUUCCGCAUCGGAGAGCGACGAGCCCCUGCCGUUAAACCCCCAACUUUCCAAGGUUGACCUCAGAUCAGGUAGGAUUACCCGCUGAACUUAAGCAUAUCAAUAAGCGGAGGA
This 348-nucleotide unclassified non-coding RNA is filed under the name soil metagenome. RNAcentral's name for it is "partial contains 5.8S ribosomal RNA, internal transcribed spacer 2, and large subunit ribosomal RNA". The stretch from base 1 to 120 matches the Rfam family "5.8S ribosomal RNA", at positions 35 to 154 of the family's 154-position model. The record is from RNAcentral.